This is a long non-coding RNA of Haliotis rubra (blacklip abalone), 397 nucleotides long. RefSeq lists it as uncharacterized. The transcript is spliced from 2 exons. The record is from RefSeq and is a predicted model, not a curated record. Lineage: Eukaryota; Metazoa; Mollusca; Gastropoda; Lepetellida; Haliotidae.
ACCAUGAUGCUGUAAUUUGUACCAUGCAUAUGUAGUAUGUAGUAUGUAUAAGUAUAUGUAUUAGCUAUUUCAUGAUUGGCAUGAUACAGUAAUGUGUAUCAUGCAUGUUUAUUAUAUGGUUUAGUUUCUAUAUGCAUAUUUAUGUAUGUAUUAGGGUCAAUAAGAUAACUAUUUAUGUGUUCGCUAAUGCCAUUUAUGAUGUAUAUCUGUAUAUACUAGCAGUAUACUUAGGCAAUAUUUUGUUUAUUUAGGUUCACUAAGAAUCAGAUGUUUUAGUAGCUGUUGGACUAUUCUGCCAGCGUCCCUGAGACGAGGGCGUUUUGUUAUAGUUCAGCCAACUGGGGAUCUCCUUAUCCCACGUCACCAGCGCCGAAUAAAUCCCUGAAACCCCACACAA